CUUUGAUUUAUGAUCGUCAUUUGCACUGAAAAGUUUUAAGAACUUGUUUCACUAGAUUAUCAGACACAUGUGACCUUGAGUUUUGAACUAGAGAACAAAUCAAUGGGGGUUAUUUACUUUAUACAACUUACCAAAAUGUGAAAUAUGAUGACUUUGUGGUAAAUGGUUUUCAACUGAUAAUCAGCGGAAGCCACGUGGUCUUCAGACUGACAGACUCAGACCGCCAGACAUUAGCAAAAAUAUACCCCCGUCAUCUUCUGUUCAACAUUCUUGUGUUUAUUGGAUACAGAAGAAUGAGUAAUUGUAAAAGGUCUUAAUUGAAGCAAAGAAAUACAAGCUGACAAGAUGGUGGACAGUAAAGAAACACUUUGUGAGAAGUUAUUUCCUCAAUUGCAUCAUGAGUGUGAAGUGUGUUAUAAAGAGUUUUCUACAGAAACUUAUCUUAUCAGUCAUAUGGCAAUACACACUGACAUGAAAAAACACAAGUGUGAAGUAUGUGAUAAAGUGCUUUCCACAGGAGGUAAUCUUACCAGACACAUGACAAUACACACUGGCGAGAAGAAACAUUGUUGUAAAAUGUGUUAUAAAGCGUUUUCUACACGAGGUAAUCUUGUCAGUCAUAUGGCAAUACACACUGGCGAGAAAAAUCAUAACUGUCAAUUCUGUGGUAAAGCAUUUUCUCGACGGAGUCAUCUUACCAUACAUAUGACAAUCCACACUGGCGAGAAAAUACAUAAGUGUGAAUUCUGUGGUAAAGCAUUUUCUCAACGGAGUAGUCUUAUCACACAUAUGACAAUACACACUGGUGAGAAAAAACAUAAGUGUGAAUUCUGUGGUAAAGCAUUUUCUGAACGAAGUCAUCUUACCAGACAUAUGACAAUACACACUGGUGAGAAAAAUCAUAAGUGUGAAUUCUGUGGUAAAGCAUUUUCUGAACGAAGUCAUCUUACCAGACAUAUGACAAUACACACUGGUGAGAAAAAUCAUAAGUGUGAAUUCUGUGGUAAAGCAUUUUCUCAACGAAGUCAUCUUACCAAACAUAUGACAAUACACACUGGCGAGAAAAAACAUAAGUGUGUAGUAUGUGAUAAAGCCUUUUCUACAGGAAGUAAUCUUAAAAAUCAUAUGACAAUACACACUGGCGAGAAAAAUCAUAAGUGUGUAGUAUGUGAUAAAGCGUUUUCCAGUAAAAGUAGUGUUAUCACACAUAUGGCAAAACACACUGGCAAGAAGAAUCAUAAAUGCGAAGUGUGUGAUAAAGCAUUUUCCUCACGAAGUUAUCUUAUCAUUCAUAUGACAAUACAUACUGGCGAGAAGAAUUAUAAAUGUGAAGUCUGUGAUAAAGCAUUUUCUACUCAAAAUACUCUUAUCACACAUAUGGCAAUACACACUGGAGAGAAAAGAUGUAAGUGUGACAUUUGUAAUAAAGUAUUUUCUCAUAGCAGUUCUCUUAGUAGGCAUAUGACAAUCCACACUGGCGAGAAAAGAUAUAAGUGUGACAUUUGUGAUAAAGUAUUUUCUCAAAGCAGUUCUCUUAUAAAGCAUAUGACAAUCCACACUGGCGAGAAAAGAUAUAAGUGUGACAUGUGUCAUAAAGCGUUUCCUACAGGAAGUUAUCUUAUUAGGCAUAUGACAAUACACACUGGCGAGAAGAAUCAUAAGUGUGAAGUAUGUGAUAAAGCAUUUUCUGAUAAAAGUUAUCUUAUCAGGCAUAUGAAAAUACACACUGGCAAUAAAAAAACAUACAUGUAAGUGGACAGUGUGUGAUAAAGGGUUUUCUACACAAAGAAGUCUUAUCAGGCAUAUGAAAAUACACACUGGCAAGAAAAAAACAUGAAUGUGACAUGUGUGAUAAAGCAUUUUCUCAACAUACUAAUCUUAUCACACAUAUGACAACACACACUGGUGAGAAUAAAUAAUACUAUGUCACAUAUAGCAAACAUGCUGGUGAGUGAAAAAAACAUAGAUGUAAAGUGUGUCAUUAAGCUUUUCCAACGUGGUUCUUGAAACAAACAUAUGACUUUACACACUGGUGAUAAAAAGAUUUAUUUGAAGUUCACAGGGUCUUACUUCUAGCAAAGAAAUACAAGCUGACAAGAUGGUGGACAGUAAAGACACACUUUGUGAGAAGUUAUCAUCCUCAAUUGCAUCAUGAGUGUGAAGUGUGUUAUAAAGCGUUUUCUACAGAAACUUAUCUUAUCAAUCAUAUGGCAAUACACACUGGCAUGAAAAAACAUAAGUGUGAAGUAUGUGAUAAAGCGCUUUCUACACGACAUAGUCUUAUC
Molecule: RNA transcript, 2285 nt
Organism: Ruditapes philippinarum (Manila clam)
Lineage: Eukaryota; Metazoa; Mollusca; Bivalvia; Venerida; Veneridae
Gene name: zinc finger protein 665-like
Exons: 4
Source: RefSeq, a predicted model, not a curated record